UUUGCAUAGAAUGUUAUCAGCGGAAUUAGUAGUCUCCGGAGAGGCUGCCACUUGUCAGCGAGCUUCACCUGGCCAGGUCCGCCGUGAUGUAGCUCCCCAAUCAAUGACUACUCUCUAGACCUUCCAGAUAGACUAGCAAAUCUUCUCCGCCCAUGGGCAACCAGUAGAGCCAGAGGCCUUCCCCCUUUGCUCUUUCGUCUCUAGGCACUCUGUCAGGCACUCCAAGGUGUGAAGUGACAAGGGGGAGAAGGAAGAGAUUUCAGAGAACGAACACAUCCAGAGAGACAGGCAAGAGAUGGUGAGUGGGGAUGUCUUGCCUACUGAUAUCCUCAGGAAAGUGGGAAAGAGGUACCUGGCCGUGCUCUGCCAAUGCCCUGAAGCAGUCCGCACCAGGGGCUCCCUUGUGCCUACCUAGCCUUUCCCAGGGUGUGCUCAAAUCCUGUGGCCACUAGGUGUCCUAGGUCACAAUGGAGGGCCCUGUGUCAUCUGCCUGUUGGGCUGGAUCUCUGCCAUUGUCUGAGUCUUGUCACCAGGCCCAUCAUAAGCUCCGCCCACUCUUCCUGUGGAGGUACUGUCUCCAUGGUGAUGGCAAAGAAGCCUGAGUUCCGCCCACCUGGCCUUCACUUCACCUACCUGGCCUGCUGACCCUCACUCAGACCUCUGUGUUGAUCAAAAUGAAUGUCCGCCAGUGGCCAGGUGUCAGCAUCUGGGAUAAAGGAUUCGGGACCUUGCCUGAGGCAGAAGGCAGCCUAGGUCUGCGGGUACUUGGAAGUCUUGUGAGUUGUGACACUGCUGCCAGUGACAGAUGGUAACUCCCACACUCACAUAUCCCCUGGUGGCAGAAGGAUAGUGAUGGGCGGAGAAACAUGCCUCCGGAGCACACGUUCAAUGCGGCACCAGCCAAAGGCCAGGGCCAGGAGUGGACAUCGUGGAGCUUAAUUGCAAGCCAGUGAAAGGCCCAAGGAUUUCUCCUAUAUGUGGCAAACAGGUCAUCCGUGUCCCCACGUCCAUAAACCAUUGGACUGCAGGGCCAGACUGCCAGGAUUUCGGCCUUGCCAUCGGAGCCCGUCCACAUACACAGCGUUGCACCGGAGGCAGGGACAUGUAGACAGCAAAAACUUGGAAAAUGGCAUCAUCUCUUCAAUUUCCCUAGCGUCGGCCUUUUUCAGCGGCAUGCUUUGUUUCCUAGUAGGAUAAGGCACUGACGGAGAAAGGCAUGAGUAUGUGUGUAGGAAAGGUGUGUGCUGAAAGGGUGACGACAUUGAGACCAUGUUGGGAUCCUUAGUCCCAGGAAAGGCCCCUGGCAGGUGUGGGUCAAUGUUCUCUGCUCAUCCGAGUUGGCGGGCGAGGUUUUCACCAAACAAAGCAGCAGUGGAAUUAUUCGUCGCCGGAGAGGUUGCAUCUGUCCACAAGCUCCACCUGGCCAGGGUCCACCCCUAUUGUAUUGCCCAUGUCAAUCAAGAGAAGCUAAGACCUUCCAGAGAGACUACCUGCUAUUGUCUACCCACCGGGAAGCGGUCCAGCCAGAAGCCUCCCCCGUUUCAUCUCCAGGCUCUCUGUCAGGCCCCUCAUACUUGUGAUGUGUCUCAGGGGUAGAAGGAAGAGAUUUCUCUGAAUGAACACAUACAGAGAGGGGCCAUAGAUGCUGAGGAAGGGCGCCUUGUCUACUGAUAUCGUAGCGUAAGUGGAAAAGAGGUACCUGCCUGCUGUCCCAGUGUGUCGAACGUGUCCACAUCAGGGGUUGGCUACUGUGAAAUUAUUCCCUGGUGCCCUCGAUUUUCUGGCCAAAGACACGAGGGGCCGUUGUGUGUCCAUGGGUACAAUGGGGGGCUCUGCAGAACUGGCCGGUUAGGCUGGACUUCUCCUAUUGGCUCAGUGUUUGUGACUCGUCCCCGUCAGAAGUUCUGCCCAGCCUUCUGGUGGCUGUCUCCAUGGGGAUUGGGAAACAAGCCCUAGGCCCCGCACUCAGCCUUCACCUGGCCUACCUGGCCUCUUUCCCCUCAUCUAGACUGCUCUGUGCAUGAAAGAAAGGAUGUCGGCCACUGACCAAACAUCCUCAUUUCCUUGGAAGGAUUAGGCUCCUUGCCUGGGCAGAAGACAGCCAAGGUCAGCCUGAGCCUAGACACCUAGUGACCUGUGACACUGCAGCCAGCGAUAGAUGUUGAUGUCCACGCUCAGGUAUCCGCAGUUGACGGAUUCAGAGUGGUCAGAGGAGAAGUGUAACUAGAGAUCACACACUCAUGAGGGUACGGGCCAAAGGUCAGGGAAAAUAGCUGAGGUCGUGGAGCUCUAGCGGAGCCAGUCUAGGGCCCAGGCCUCCCUGCUGUACGUGGCAAAGAGGUGCCACCCUCUGCAGAGUAUGCUGCCACCCGCAGACUCUGGACUGCUGGGGCCCUGGAUGCCCGGAUUGCGGCCUUGUGUUUGGAGAAGUGACGUGCAUGCAGUGUGCCACUGGGGGCUGUGGCCCAGCAGAAGCAAAAUCUUGAAAAUGGGGGCUUCAGUUGACUUUGCCUGUUCUCUCCCUUGGCUGAGUGCCAUCCUGUGUUUCCUAGGAGGAGAAGGCAUUCGUGGAGAGAGGCAGAUUCCAUGUGUGCAGGCAAAGUGUGUGCUGACAUGAUGAGACCCUGGAGACCAGGGUGGACGCUUCAGACCCAGGAUAGACCUCUGGCAGGCACUCUGUCAGGCACUCCAAGCUGUGAAGUGACUCAGGGAGAGAAGGAAGAGAUUUCAGAGAAUGAACACAUACAGAGAGAGAGGCAAGAGAUGGUGAGUGGGGAUGUCUUGCGUACUGAUAUCCUGAGGAAAGUGGGAAAAUUGGACCCUGGCCUGCUCUGCCAAUGCCGUGAAGCAGUCUGCACCAGGGGCUCCCUUGUGCCUGCAUAGCCUUUCCCAGGGUGUGCUCAAAUCCUUUGGCCACUAGGUGUCCUAGGUCACAAUGGAGGACCCUGUGUCAUCUGCCUGGCGGACUGGAUCUCUGCCAUUGGCUAAGUCUUGUCACCAGGCCCAUCAUAAGCUCUGCCCACUCUUCCGGUGGGGAGACUCUCUCCAUGGUGAUGGCAAAGAAACCUUAGUCCCACCCACCUGGCCUUGACUUCACCUACCUGGCCUGCUGACCCUCACCCAGACCUCUGUGUGGAUGAAAAUGAAUGUCCACCAAUGGCCCGGUGUCAGCGUCUGGUAUAAAGGAUUCGGGACCUUUCCUGAGGCAGAAGGCAGCCUACGUCUGCGGGUACCUGGAAGUCUAGUGACUUGUGAUGCUGCUGCCAGUGAGAAAUGGUGACUCCCACACUCACAUAUCCCCUGGUGGGGGAAUGAUAGUGAUGGGUGGAGAAACAUGGCUCCGGAGCACAUGUUCAGUGGGGCACCGGCCAAAUGCCAGGGCCAGGAGUGGACGUCGUGGAUCUGCAUGGCAUGCCAGUGAAGGGCCCAAGGAUUUCUCCAAUGAGGCAAAAUGCAGAUCAAGGAAGGAACACAAAGAUAAAGCAGCUGAAGAAAUUAAAAAGGUUACUCAAGAACAGAGUUAAAAAUUUAAUAAGCUGCAAGAAACCAUAGAGAGACUGCAAUCAGAGAUUCAGAAGAUUAACAAUAAAAUUACAGAGUCAGAAAACUCAAUAGAAAGUAAGAAGAGCACAAUUGAGGAAUUGGAAGGCAGAAUUACUGAGAUUGAAGAUCAAACUCUUGGGACUAAUAUAUUUGAAGAGAAAGCAGAUAAAAGAAUUUUAAAUGAAGAAAUCCAAAGAAUCAUGUAGGACUUUAUCAAGAGAAAUAACUAUGAGUGAUUGCAGUACCAGAACAGGGAGGGCUAACAGAAAAUACAGAGGGAACUGUUGAAGAUUUGUUGGCAGAACUUCCCUGAUAUCAUGAAAGAUGCUCAUCGAAUUCCACAUAAGGUAGAUCUCAAAAGAAAGUGACCGAGACACAUAAUAAUCAAACUUGCCAAAAUCAAAUAUAAAGAGAAUUUUAAGAGAGGCUAGGGAUAAAGGAAGUCACCAACAAAGGAGAGUAAAUAAUAAAAAACUUGGACUACUCAGCAGAAAUCAUGCAGGCAAGAAGGCAAAGGGAUGACUUACACAAAAUAUUGAAGGAAAAAAAUUGCCAGCCAGGAAUCAAACCAUAACCGUGGCCCUCUGGCCUUCGGGCCCUCUGGCCUUAGCCCUCUAACUCUAGCCCCUAAGCCCUGAGCCCCAAAGCCCCUAAGACCCUAAGCCCUUAGGUCCUAACCCCCAAGGCCCUAAACUCUAACCCUAAUCCAAACCCUAACCCCUAUUCCCUAAACUCUACAACCUAAACACCUACACCCCAAAACACUACACAUCAAAACCCUACACACUAAACCCUAUACUCUAAGCCUCAAACCCUAAACCCAAACCUCAAAUCCCAAACCCCAAACCCUAAACCUAACCGUAAACCCUAAACCCUAACACCUAACCCUAACCCCUAACCACCCUAACCCUAAUGACCCUAACCCUCGAACCCUAACCCUCUAACGCUAACAUGAAACCCUAAUCCGAAACCCUAACCCUCUAACUCUAACCUCUAACCCUCUAACCCUAGCCCUAAUCCUAACCCCAACCUCCAAACCUAACCCCAAACCCUAAACCUCAAAUCCCUAGCCCUAAACCUAAGAAUGAGCCUAAGCCUAACCCUAUCACUUAACUCUAAACCCUAAACCAUAACA
Long non-coding RNA from Loxodonta africana (African savanna elephant), 4678 nucleotides. RefSeq lists it as uncharacterized. The record is from RefSeq and is a predicted model, not a curated record. The transcript has 2 exons. Lineage: Eukaryota; Metazoa; Chordata; Mammalia; Proboscidea; Elephantidae.